RNAcentral lists this ribosomal RNA (230 nucleotides) under uncultured bacterium. RNAcentral's name for it is "partial 16S ribosomal RNA". It matches the Rfam family "Bacterial small subunit ribosomal RNA", at positions 562 to 791 of the family's 1533-position model. The record is from RNAcentral.
AAAGCGCGCGUAGGCGGCUUGUUAAGUCGGAUGUGAAAUCCCUGGGCUCAACCUAGGCAUUGCAUUCGAUACUGGCAAGCUAGAGUAUGGGAGAGGAAGGUAGAAUUCCAGGUGUAGCGGUGAAAUGCGUAGAGAUCUGGAGGAAUACCGAUGGCGAAGGCAGCCUUCUGGCCUAAUACUGACGCUGAGGUGCGAAAGCAUGGGGAGCAAACAGGAUUAGAUACCCUUGU